Brassica rapa (field mustard) is the source of this 1232-nucleotide long non-coding RNA. RefSeq lists it as uncharacterized. Lineage: Eukaryota; Viridiplantae; Streptophyta; Magnoliopsida; Brassicales; Brassicaceae. The record is from RefSeq and is a predicted model, not a curated record.
UGCGGUCAACUCUAACAGCAGCUUGGGUGUUAUUUUCACAGAGAACCUUCUCGCAACAAAUGGCAAUUCCUCGGUUACAGGCCCAUUGGCUUCCCUUCUGACUCCUAUAGAAUUAGAGCUAUUGGGUCUCUUCUCUUAAACAGAGAGAAGAAACAGCCGCGAGAUGACUUGGCGGGAAGCGUUCUCCGCCGCUGGCAUGGCGAAACAACAGGGAGAGAGAGUUGGUGCUGUGCUGGCAUGGAAUGGCACUUGUUGCCACGUCAGCUUGGCGCUUUUAGAUAGUCAUCGGUCUUUCACCUUUUGACUUUUCCCUUUGAUUUCAAAUAAAGAAAAUAUUCUUCUCAAUUGUUGGAAUACUCUAGGGUACCUUUAGGACAAGAGCCAAUCUCUUUGUAUUCCCUUUUGUUCUGUCAGCAGAAAAGUUUUAUUUUCUAGUUGCUUUUGGGUUCUUUACUCUAUUAUAGCUGUAUAAAAAAAAGUCUUGCUCUUGGUUUUCCUGCUGCUGUUCUGUUGGCAUCGGGUUGCCUGUAUACUCCACUUUCAACGCAACUGAGAAUAGAGAUCAGAAUGAACAACAUAAAUGGCUUUUUUUACUGUUGGCAUCGUUUUCUCUCUCUCUCUCUCUCUCUCUCUCUCUCUCUCUCUCUCUCUCUUCCACCUUAUUUUGCAGCUUAUGGUUCUUUCAGCCUUGUUCAAGUGUUCACGGACAAACUCAUUUCCUGGUGUGUACUCUUCUCUAUCUCUUUAUAACCAUCAUUUAACAUGUUGAGAAAGCUUGCUCUGAGGAAGAUGACAACUCCGCACCUGCUCAGGUUGCUGCCCUGGCACCGGAAGCUCCCCUCACAGCAGUAGACUACCCUGAGAUGAUCCCUGUAGUCUACAAGAAGAAAAUCUAUAGCGAUAACAUGAAUGGUAUGGAGUUUGGGCACGUAUGGAUAAGGUGUGGGCGGGAUGUCCUGUAGAUAUGAGGAAGAUACAUCGAAAACGAGUAAUUAGAGAAAAAAAAUGUAACCAAAACUAUUUCCUUACUUAGACCGGAACACACACCAAAAAAACACAACAAGAGCAUUUUCAAAACAGAGACAAAUGUGUCCACAUCGACAAUCAUGAAAGGACUUAUUGUCUUAUCAUAUGCUGGGUAUUGAUAGAGUUUCUUGUUAUUGAUAUAGAAACUUGACACACCCACAAAAAAGACACAACAAGAGCAAAUUCAAAACAGAGACAAAUACGUC